RNAcentral lists this long non-coding RNA (434 nucleotides) under Setaria viridis. RNAcentral describes it as "long non-coding RNA (SVIR_LNC000733)". The record is from RNAcentral. Lineage: Eukaryota; Viridiplantae; Streptophyta; Magnoliopsida; Poales; Poaceae.
CAGCAAUAGCUGGGCAAUCGAUCACUGUUCGACAAGUUGGCGCUCAAGAUGCUAUUUCGCAAUGCACGGGUAAUCCAACAUUUUUGUAGUUAGUGAAGGCUACAGCGCCCAGUUGCAUUGUCAAUUUGUACCUAUAUCUGCAUUUCCAAGUUUAUUUUUUCGUUGGUUGGUUUUGUGUGGUUCUGUGCAAGAAAACUCUCCGCGAGAGGCACGCUGGACUGGCCGUGAUGGCGGGCGCGCACCAACCAACCGAAACAUUGCUGCAUGUGUGACUGUAUAUACACUGCUGGAAUUCAGCCCUUGUUUACUUCCCAAGUUGGGAGGUGCCAAAUUGGCAUUUUGCCAUAAAUGCGACACUGUAGCAUUUCGUUUGUAUUUGUGAAUUAUUGUCCAAAUAUUGACUAAUUAGGCUCAAAAGAUUCGUCUCGCAAAGU